GGGGAAUUAGCUCAGUUGGCUAGAGCGCCACGCUGGCAGCGUGGAGGUCAUCGGUUCGAACCCGAUAUUCUCCA
Molecule: transfer RNA, 74 nt
Filed under: Flavobacterium sp. CS20
Lineage: Bacteria; Pseudomonadati; Bacteroidota; Flavobacteriia; Flavobacteriales; Flavobacteriaceae
Also listed under: 1 other name
Rfam family: tRNA
About the family: Transfer RNA (tRNA) molecules are approximately 80 nucleotides in length. Their secondary structure includes four short double-helical elements and three loops (D, anti-codon, and T loops).
Source: Rfam by way of RNAcentral